UACGGAGGGUCCAAGCGUUAUCCGGAAUCAUUGGGUUUAAAGGGUCCGUAGGCGGUUUUGUAAGUCAGUGGUGAAAGCCCAUCGCUCAACGGUGGAACGGCCAUUGAUACUGCAAGACUUGAAUUAUUAGGAAGUAACUAGAAUAUGUAGUGUAGCGGUGAAAUGCUUAGAUAUUACAUGGAAUACCAAUUGCGAAGGCAGGUUACUACUAAUGGAUUGACGCUGAUGGACGAAAGCGUGGGUAGCGAACAGG
This 253-nucleotide ribosomal RNA is filed under the name uncultured bacterium. RNAcentral describes it as "partial 16S ribosomal RNA". It matches the Rfam family "Bacterial small subunit ribosomal RNA", at positions 524 to 776 of the family's 1533-position model. The record is from RNAcentral.